RNAcentral lists this unclassified non-coding RNA (299 nucleotides) under Hevea brasiliensis (rubber tree). The record is from RNAcentral. Lineage: Eukaryota; Viridiplantae; Streptophyta; Magnoliopsida; Malpighiales; Euphorbiaceae.
GGAAGAGUGUGCAUGGUGGGACCCAGUUCUGCGUUGCCCAUGGUGGCGGGAAGAGGUGCUCUGCACCCGACUGCACUAAGAGUGCGAGAGGGCGGACUGAGUUCUGUGUUCGCCACGGUGGGGGAAAACGCUGCAAGUCUGACGGAUGCGGGAAGAGUGCACAAGGCAGUACUGAUUACUGCAAGGCGCAUGGGGGAGGUAAGCGGUGCUCAUGGGGACAAGGCGAACCAGAUUUGGGCAUUGGUGGCCAAUGCGACAGGUUUGCUAGGGGAAAAACUGGCCUAUGUGCCGCACAUGGU